CAAUAAAAAUAAAACACUCAAAAAGACAAUUGUUUAAUUUUUCUCUGGAAUCAAACACCACAUCGAAAAAGACUUUUGUAGGAAAACAAGAAAGGAGUCAGAAAUCUCGUGUGGAAAGUGCCGCUCAUUGCGCCAGUCUUACGAGAGAUUGGAGCUGCGUUAGCACAAGAGUUUCAUCACUCUCUCUGAGAAUCUGAGUAAUCCACCAAGAGAACAACUUAACAAAUCCAUUGAAAACACCCGGUGGCUCAAAUCCGAAGAAUGAAAGAACGAAAAAGAAGAAAGACAAUUCAAGAGAGAGAGAGAGAGAGAGAGAGAGAGAAAGAAGGAUCGCGAUCUCUUCCGGCUCAGCGACGGUGCGAGGCGAAGCUGAAGUUGGCGAUUUAUAGGGCUCGUGAGUCUUGCCUAUGGCUUAUAUAGUGGGAGCUGGCUAUCUUGUGCUAGGUUUGCCCUAAUUCACAACUGAAAAUUGAUGUUAAAACGGUUUGUCGUUUAAAUGUGCUUUCUUAAAUAACCAAUAAUAACAUUUUAUUUAUGCAAAUGCGUAUAUCAAAUAUUAAAUAAAUUGUUUGAAAUUAGUUAAAUUUUCAAAAUUUCUUUGUAAGUGUUAAAUUAAUUAUUUUUAAUUUUUAUCUAAAUUUAUUGAAAAUUUCAAUUUAAAUCUAUUUAAUUUAAAAAUAAAUAGGAGAAUGAUUUUAUUAAUACUUGAAAUUAAUCAAUAAAUUAAGAAUUUUGUUAAAAUUUUUUAGUUUGAUGUUAAAUUAAGUUUAAUCUGAAGUCUGAAUUAAUUUAGAAAAAAAUUAUAAAUGAGUUGAUAAAGGUAAACAUUUAUUCAUUUGAAAUCUUAACAUGUCCAGUUUAAUUUGAAAAUGAACAUUAUAAAAAUAGAUUAAAAUGUCUUAAAAAUCCAAAAGUUUAGCCGCUUAUCAAUUUUAACUGUUUUAUUUUUAACAAUUUUUAGCCUGAUUCGAAAAUUUUAAAUUUAUUUUUAAAAAAAUAUAAAAAUACACUAUUUUUGCUUUAGAGUUUAUAAUUUAAUUUAUAUCAAAAUAUCAUAUAUUAUAUCAUGUCUCUACCAAAUUGUGAUAAUUUUUUUAUGCAGUCAAAAAAUACUAUGUGAUAAUUAAAAUAUAAUUAUUAAUUAAAAAGUAAAAAUAUAAAAAAAUAUAUUGUGAUUUCUUCAAUUUUUAUUUUAAUAUUUGUGAUCUAAUGUGUAUUAAAUUAGUAUUUAGUGAUAUAAUUUUUAUAGAUUUAAUCUAUGAAACAUGUAAAUCUAACUUUGUAAAAUACAUUUUCAAUAUUUUAUAAGAUUUCAAAGGAUCCGAUGUAUUUUGGAGCUAAUUUAUCUUUCUUUUCAAAAUAAAUCAUCUUUUUCGUAUGAGACAUUUUAAGCAAUACCAUAUUUUCCUCCUAAAUGACAACUUGCUUCUUACGUAUGUCUGCAUAACUCUUCGACCUACUUACAGUUGUUCUGAUUAUUUCUCUGAUAAUGGGCACCACCCUGUUGGUGGUUUCUACCAAUUCUAGUCCUACUAAAACCCUUUUUUUUCUACUUCUUCCCAACAAACAAGCGAUCUGCACUUUUUCCCAUGUAAGUUUCAUAUGGAGCCAUCCCAAUACUAGCAUGAUAACUGUUAUUAUAGGCAAACUCAACUAAUGGUAGAUGUUGCCUCUAAGAAUCACCAAAAUCUAGCACACAUUCUUAAUAUGUCCUCUAUGGUUUGGAUAGUCAUUUCCGACUGUCCAUCAAUCUGUGAGUGGAAAGCAAUGCUAAAAUAUAACCUUGUGCCUAAAGUAUUCUGCAGACUCUAUCAAAAUCUAGAGGUAAACUGGAGUCUCCCAUCUGACACUAUAAAAACUAGAGUCCCAUAUAGUCUGAUGAUUUUUUUCACGUAGAUCUGUGCCAAUUUAUCCACCGAAUAAUCACUCUUGACAAUAAUAAUGUGAACAAAUUUGAUCAAUCUAUUCACUAUUACCUAUAUAGAGUUGUGUCUCUUGGACGUCAUUGGUAAUCCCACUACAAAAUUCAUUGUCAUGUUUUUUCAUUUUUAUUCUUGAAUGGGAAAAUUACUUCUUAGUCCAUGAGAUUUAACGUAAUUAACACUUCUGUCCAUCUAUUUUGGCGACCCAACACUUAAGUCCCUCACUUUCUCUUCCGUCCAAAUUCAUAGUCAUUUCGUCCAUUUAAACCGUUUGGUCAAAGAGUCAAAGGUGAGAGGUGAUAAUUUUUUCCAAAAAUACCCUUCUCUCAGUGUGAAAUUCUUAUUUUUUUUCUCUUUCAUGUUUUCUCCGGUUGUAGAAGAAGAAGAAGAAGAAGUUGCAAAAAGGGUAGGAAGAAGAAGAAGAAGAAGAAGAAAGAAGUUGC
This 2365-nucleotide long non-coding RNA is filed under the name Manihot esculenta (cassava). RNAcentral's name for it is "long non-coding RNA (MESC_LNC010678)". The record is from RNAcentral. Lineage: Eukaryota; Viridiplantae; Streptophyta; Magnoliopsida; Malpighiales; Euphorbiaceae.